Molecule: ribosomal RNA, 253 nt
Filed under: uncultured bacterium
Lineage: Bacteria
Description: partial 16S ribosomal RNA
Rfam family: Bacterial small subunit ribosomal RNA
Source: RNAcentral
UACGUAGGGUGCGAGCGUUAAUCGGAAUUACUGGGCGUAAAGCGCGCGCAGGCGGCUAUCCAAGUCAGUGGUGAAAGCCCGGAGCUCAACUCCGGAACUGCCAUUGAAACUGUUUAGCUUGAGUAUGAGAGAGGUGAGUGGAAUUCCCAGUGUAGAGGUGAAAUUCGUAGAUAUUGGGAAGAACACCGGUGGCGAAGGCGGCUCACUGGCUCAUUACUGACGCUCAGGCGCGACAGCGUGGGGAUCAAACAGG